CCUACGGGUGGCUGCAGUGGGGAAUAUUGCACAAUGGGGGAAACCCUGAUGCAGCGACGCCGCGUGAGUGAAGAAGUAUUUCGGUAUGUAAAGCUCUAUCAGCAGGGAAGAAAAUGAUGGUAGUUGAUGAAUCAGCAGCGGCUAAUUACGUGCCAGCAGCCGCGGUAGUACGUCGGGGGGAAGCGUUGUUCGGAGUUACUGGGUGUAGAGGGAGCGUAGACGGCGGUGCAAGUCGGAAGUGAAAGCCGAGGGCUCAACCAUGGUACUGCUUUGGAAACUGGAGAGCGUGAGUGCGGGAGGGGCAAGUGGAAUUCCUAGUGUAGCGGUGAAAUGCGUAGAUAUUAGGAGGAACACCAGUGGCGAAGGCGGCCUACUGGACCGUAACUGACGUUGAGGCUCGAAAGCGUGGGGAGCAAACAGGAUUAGAUACCCGAGUAGUC
This 440-nucleotide ribosomal RNA is filed under the name uncultured bacterium. RNAcentral describes it as "partial 16S ribosomal RNA". It matches the Rfam family "Bacterial small subunit ribosomal RNA", at positions 338 to 795 of the family's 1533-position model. The record is from RNAcentral.